CGAAAGAUUGAUUCAGUUACUUAUUAAGAUGAUAUAUACAAUAAUAAUAUAUUAAAUAUAUUAAUAUAUAUAUAUAAAUUGAUUAAAAAUAAAGUCUAUAAAUAAUUAAAAUAAUGAUAUUAAUUACAUUCUUUAAUUGAAUGAUAUAAUAUAAAUAAUAUUAUAUUUUAAUAGUCCUAACCAAGAUUUGUGCCAGCAGCUGCGGUAAUACAAUGAGGGCUAGCGUUAAUCAUAAUGGUUUAAAGUAUCCGUAGAAUAAUUUAAUAAAAUUAGAGUUAAUAAAUUUAAUUAAAGAAUUAUGAUAGUAAAGAUGAAAUAAUUAUGAUAAUCAUAAGACUGGUAUGUGUUAAGAUAUUAAUUAAAUAUUAACUGACAUUGAGGGAUGAAAGCUAGAGUAGCAAUAUGGAUUCGAUACCCAAGUAGUUCUAGCUGUAAACUAUGAACACCAUAAUUUAUUAAUUUAUAUAAAUUAUAAACGAAAGUGUAAGUGUUCCACCUGAAGAGUACUUUCGCAAGAAUGAAACUCAAGACAAUAGACGGUUACAGACUUAAGCAGUGGAGCAU
This 564-nucleotide ribosomal RNA is filed under the name Zygosaccharomyces rouxii. Its description in RNAcentral is "partial small subunit ribosomal RNA". The stretch from base 125 to 564 matches the Rfam family "Microsporidia small subunit ribosomal RNA", at positions 1 to 818 of the family's 1311-position model. The record is from RNAcentral. Lineage: Eukaryota; Fungi; Ascomycota; Saccharomycetes; Saccharomycetales; Saccharomycetaceae.